Molecule: long non-coding RNA, 2839 nt
Filed under: Sus scrofa (pig)
Lineage: Eukaryota; Metazoa; Chordata; Mammalia; Artiodactyla; Suidae
Description: lncRNA (ENSSSCG00030053365.1)
Source: RNAcentral
GAAGCCGCUAGAAUCUAAGAUUAACAUCACCAUCGUCAUCAUCAUCGUCCCUUCAUUUAUUUCAGAGAUGGGGGCUAGAAACAAAUCUCCCAAAUCUCUUAAGCCUUAUAAAUCUGAAAGUAAAACUAAGUGGCUACCUUUUUUUAUCCCUUUUCAAGAAGUUCUUCUUCCCUGCUCUUUCGAUUCGGCCUUCUUCAAGAUCCAUCGCGACCUGAGGAGAAACCAGAGCAGACUGGCCAAGUGCAAGAACCGCAGAACCACAGAAGGCCGAGGUGAGACAGAGCCUGACUUCCGCGGGGAGCGGUAGGGCGGAGCGCUCGCCCUGAUGCUCUAGCCGCCAGAAGCCUCGGUGGUUGCCUCACGGACUUGCCUCCGCGCCCGGCAUCCAGCCUCCGCACGCGAGCAGAGGGGCAGGGCGCCGGCGCGUCCUGGACUUUGCCCGCUGCCGCUGCAGCUCUACCUCCCGGUUACCCUCGCGGUCCACAGGCUCAGAGCCCAGCUUCCAAGACAAGCGGCCAGGACCGAAAAUAAGGUGCCGGGGAGUUCCCCAACUGAGAAUAACUCUCAUUCCCCUGGCUCCUCUUGGACUUGCCAAUUGGAAUCCGCCCCCCGCCCCAAACCCUUCUCUCACUGGAACCAAGCUCAGAAAAUUGGAGGGCCCACUCUCCCUGCGAACUGUCUCCAUCCCGUCCCCAGCUUCGCGCUCCCCUACCUCGGGCUUUCCCUCUGAACGUCCGCUAAGACGUGGAUUUUUGGAAGAAGAGAGGCAGACUCUAACGGGAAGCUCCCGGAGGAAGCGCACAGCGGUCUCGGACUUCGGGGCCUAGAAGGAGCCGCGGCUCAAUACGUCCAGGCUUCCUGUGGCGAAUGAUUGUAGCAGCUUGAUGUGGGAUCUCAGCGUUGGACUUCAUGGAGAAUGAAGUCAAAGUCUCUGGCCAAGACAAGAAUUACCAGACCCUUAUCAUCACCCCACCCAUCACAUUACAAUGCCCCUUCCCCCACCUUGAGCAACCUGGCCUACUCCUUCCUACCCCCUACUAAGAAAGGAAGUUGUGCUUCCCCAUCAACCUCAGAGUUAUGGACAAGAUCUAAAGCCUAGAGCUACUUUUCCUGACUAACCAUCACGUACCUUGACCUGAGGAAGAUAAUAAUGAGGAGCAAAGACCAAAUAAGGACUCACCAUUCUUCUGAAGAGUGCACUCCAUAAGGAUGACUGGAGAGGGAGGAUUACUCACAGCUGCGCGGGCAGAAACACGUGGGCUCCAUGGCCGUGACCUUCAGGCCUGCCCCAGCCGCGUCUCCAGCCGCAAGGGCUGACGCUUCUGCAGAGGCAGAGGCCGGGAAGCAGCGGCCAGCAGCCACUACUGCUGACCCUAAGUUCCUCUGUUUCUCGUGGAGUCUCCUCCGUCCAUCUGUCCCAGAGCUUGAGCUGGAGGCUGGCCCCCUACUCACCGCCUCCGCUGCAGCUGCAGCCGCCCACGCCUCCUCCGGCGCCUUGGUAAGUUCUCAACGCCUCACCCAGCAGUCCCGCCUCUUCCGCUCCCUCAGAACAGUUUUUGAUUUAUGACUUUCUAUGUAAAAAAAAUUACAAAGGUAUAAACGAAUCGCAUUUAGUUAUGCAUAUAGCAAAUCACCUUUAUAGACGGGAAAGUUUUGGAAAUUUGGGGUUUCGUUUUUUGGUUAUUUUGUUUUUUGUUUUGCUUUUUAGCACCACGCCAAGGCGUAUGGAAGUUCCCAGACUAGGGGGCCACGAAUUGGAGCUGCAACUGCCUGCCUCCACCAGAGCAAUGCCUGAUCCGUGCCAUGUCUGCAACCUACGCUGCAGCUCAUGGCAAUGCAGGAUCCUUAAUCCACUGAGGCAGGCCAGGGAUAGAACCUGUAACCUCAUGGAUACUAGUUUGGUUCUUAACCAUCUGAGCCACAAUGGGAACUCUGAGUUUCUUUCUUUUUUUUUUUUUUUUUAACCUUUUAGGACCGCACCCGGAGGCAUAGGGAAGUUCCCAGGAUAGGGGUCCAAUUGGAGCUACAGCUAUUGGCCUAUACCACAGCUACAGCAACUCAGGGUCUGAGCCACUUGUGCGACCUACACCACAGCUCAUGGCAACUUUGGAUCCCUGACCCACUGAAAGAGGCCACGGAUCAAACUGGCAUCCCCAUGGAUACUAGUUGGAUUGUUUCCUGCUAUGCUACAAUGGGAACUCCCGAGAUUUUUAAAUGAUCGAGAUUUGUGACCAGUAUUGUAAGGAAUUCCCUAUUCUUUGCUACCCUAUACUAUCCCUGGUAAUCUGGUGUCAUAAGAAAUAAAUUCUUUACAAACUUUUUAUAGCAUGCUGCAUGCAGAUGGUUCCCUCACAGCUAAGAAUUCCAUGAAGACAGAAUUUAACAUAUUUAUUGAGCACUUUUAGUGAUCACUCCAGGUAUAAAGAGAAAUGUGUUAAUCCUUGCCCUCAAAAGACCUCCUGAUGUAUUGUUGGAAAGAAGACCAAGAUAAUGACCAUUAUCAAGCUCUUAAUCAGAUGUUUUCAUACUUAAUCUUGGCACAGGGAGGCUAUAAUUAUAUUUAUUUUAAAGAAGAGGAUGGAGUUUCUUUUGUGGCUCAGCAGUUAGGAACCCGACUAGUAUCCAUAAGGCUGUGGGUUUGAUCUCUGACCUUGUUCGUGGGUUAAGGAUCCUGAGUUGUGGUGACCUGUGGUGUAGGUUGCAGAUGCAGUUUGGAUCCCCCUUUGCUGAGGCUGUGGUGUAGGCCAGCAGCUGCAGCUCUGAUUGGACUCCUAGCCUGGGAACUUCCAUAUGCUGCAGGUGCAGCCCUUAAAAAAAAAAAAAAAAAAAAAAAAAAAAG